This 771-nucleotide ribosomal RNA is filed under the name uncultured Bacteroidota bacterium. RNAcentral's name for it is "bacterial SSU rRNA". It matches the Rfam family "Bacterial small subunit ribosomal RNA", at positions 216 to 987 of the family's 1533-position model. The record is from RNAcentral. Lineage: Bacteria; Pseudomonadati; Bacteroidota.
UGGCAUAAGAUGGGCAUGCGUCUGAUUAGCUAGUUGGUGAGGUAACAGCUCACCAAGGCGACGAUCAGUAGGGGUUCUGAGAGGAUUAUCCCCCACACUGGUACUGAGACACGGACCAGACUCCUACGGGAGGCAGCAGUGAGGAAUAUUGGUCAAUGGGCGCGAGCCUGAACCAGCCAUCCCGCGUGCAGGAUGACGGCCCUAUGGGUUGUAAACUGCUUUUCUACGCCAAGAACGGCCCCGACGUGUCGGGGAUUGACGGUAGCGUAGGAAUAAGCAUCGGCUAACUCCGUGCCAGCAGCCGCGGUAAUACGGAGGAUGCAAGCGUUAUCCGGAUUCAUUGGGUUUAAAGGGUGCGCAGGCGGGAAAGUAAGUCAGUGGUGAAAAACUGCCGCUCAACGGUAGUCGUGCCAUUGAUACUGCUUUUCUUGAGUUUGGAUGAGGUAGGCGGAAUGUGCAGUGUAGCGGUGAAAUGCAUAGAUAUUGCACAGAACACCAAUUGCGAAGGCAGCUUACUAAUCCACGACUGACGCUGAGGCACGAAAGCGUGGGGAGCGAACAGGAUUAGAUACCCUGGUAGUCCACGCCGUAAACGAUGUUCACUCGCUGUUUGCGAUACACAGUAAGCGGCUUAGCGAAAGCAUUAAGUGAACCACCUGGGGAGUACGAUCGCAAGGUUGAAACUCAAAGGAAUUGACGGGGGCCCGCACAAGCGGAGGAACAUGUGGUUUAAUUCGAUGAUACGCGAGGAACCUUACCAAGGCUUAAAUG